UGAGUAUGUGGUUUAAUUCGAUGCAACGCGAAGAACCUUACCUGGUCUUGACAUCCCGGAGACCCUUAGGAAACUAGGGGGUGCUUCCAUCUGGAAGAAUCUGGAGACAGGUGCUGCAUGGCUGUCGUCAGCUCGUGUCGUGAGAUGUUGGGUUAAGUCCCGCAACGAGCGCAACCCUUGCCUUUAGUUGCCAGCAGUUCGGCUGGGCACUCUAAAGGGACUGCCGGUGUUAAACCGGAGGAAGGUGGGGAUGACGUCAAGUCCUCAUGGCCUUUAUGACCAGGGCUACACACGUACUACAAUGGCCGAUACAAAGGGCAGCGACACUGCGAGGUGAAGCCAAUCCCGUAAAAUCGGUCUCAGUCCGGAUUGGAGUCUGCAACUCGACUCCAUGAAGUUGGAAUCGCUAGUAAUCGUGGAUCAGCAUGCCACGGUGAAUACGUUCCCGGGCCUU
Molecule: ribosomal RNA, 454 nt
Filed under: uncultured Desulfobulbus sp.
Lineage: Bacteria; Pseudomonadati; Thermodesulfobacteriota; Desulfobulbia; Desulfobulbales; Desulfobulbaceae
Description: bacterial SSU rRNA
Rfam family: Bacterial small subunit ribosomal RNA
Source: RNAcentral